Molecule: long non-coding RNA, 220 nt
Filed under: Neodiprion pinetum (white pine sawfly)
Lineage: Eukaryota; Metazoa; Arthropoda; Insecta; Hymenoptera; Diprionidae
Description: uncharacterized LOC124211246
Source: RNAcentral
CAGGUCCAUGCAAUAUCCCUUCUGCUUCUUCGAAAAGAUCGUGCUCAAUGGAUUGUUCAGUCCGACGAGCUGUCCUCGCCUCUUUGCUAUCCAGGGACGCCCGGCGGUUUGCUUGGGUGAUGCGCGCAUUCUUGUACUUAGCGGCGAAAUCUGCGGCGCUCGGCCCUAUCGUGCAUCCCAUCAUCUCCAAUAUUUUUAAAAUUGGGAGAUCGGAAGAGGG